This is a small nucleolar RNA of Ailuropoda melanoleuca (giant panda), 130 nucleotides long. The record is from Ensembl. Lineage: Eukaryota; Metazoa; Chordata; Mammalia; Carnivora; Ursidae.
GGGGUGUGCUCAGAGCAGGGAGCCUGAAGAAAUGGCUUGUCUGUUUAUAACACACCCAACAGGAAUCUGGGUUUGAUGUGAAAAAGGGCACAAAACGUGUGGCCUUCCUACGAACAGACACCCUACACAU